GAGGGUUUGAUCCUGGCUCAGAUUGAACGCUGGCGGCAGGCCUAACACAUGCAAGUCGAGCGGAUGAAGGGAGCUUGCUCCUGGAUUCAGCGGCGGACGGGUGAGUAAUGCCUAGGAAUCUGCCUGGUAGUGGGGGAUAACGUCCGGAAACGGGCGCUAAUACCGCAUACGUCCUGAGGGAGAAAGUGGGGGAUCUUCGGACCUCACGCUAUCAGAUGAGCCUAGGUCGGAUUAGCUAGUUGGUGGGGUAAAGGCCUACCAAGGCGACGAUCCGUAACUGGUCUGAGAGGAUGAUCAGUCACACUGGAACUGAGACACGGUCCAGACUCCUACGGGAGGCAGCAGUGGGGAAUAUUGGACAAUGGGCGAAAGCCUGAUCCAGCCAUGCCGCGUGUGUGAAGAAGGUCUUCGGAUUGUAAAGCACUUUAAGUUGGGAGGAAGGGCAGUAAGUUAAUACCUUGCUGUUUUGACGUUACCAACAGAAUAAGCACCGGCUAACUUCGUGCCAGCAGCCGCGGUAAUACGAAGGGUGCAAGCGUUAAUCGGAAUUACUGGGCGUAAAGCGCGCGUAGGUGGUUCAGCAAGUUGGAUGUGAAAUCCCCGGGCUCAACCUGGGAACUGCAUCCAAAACUACUGAGCUAGAGUACGGUAGAGGGUGGUGGAAUUUCCUGUGUAGCGGUGAAAUGCGUAGAUAUAGGAAGGAACACCAGUGGCGAAGGCGACCACCUGGACUGAUACUGACACUGAGGUGCGAAAGCGUGGGGAGCAAACAGGAUUAGAUACCCUGGUAGUCCACACCGUAAACGAUGUCGACUAGCCGUUGGGAUCCUUGAGAU
Molecule: ribosomal RNA, 836 nt
Filed under: uncultured bacterium
Lineage: Bacteria
Description: bacterial SSU rRNA
Rfam family: Bacterial small subunit ribosomal RNA
Source: RNAcentral